UACAGAGGGGGCAAGCGUUGUUCGGAAUUACUGGGCGUAAAGGGCGCGUAGGCGGCCUUCUAAGUCGAACGUGAAAUCCCCGGGCUCAACCCGGGAACUGCGUCCGAUACUGGAAGGCUUGAAUCCGGGAGAGGGAUGCGGAAUUCCAGGUGUAGCGGUGAAAUGCGUAGAUAUCAUUUGGAACGCCAAUGGUGAAAACAGGUAGCUGGGGCUGUGCUGACACUGAGACACGAAAGCCAGGGGAGCGAACGGG
Molecule: ribosomal RNA, 253 nt
Filed under: uncultured bacterium
Lineage: Bacteria
Description: partial 16S ribosomal RNA
Rfam family: Bacterial small subunit ribosomal RNA
Source: RNAcentral